Long non-coding RNA from Strongylocentrotus purpuratus (purple sea urchin), 2742 nucleotides. RefSeq lists it as uncharacterized. NCBI's taxonomy places the organism in Eukaryota, Metazoa, Echinodermata, Echinoidea, Camarodonta, Strongylocentrotidae. The transcript is spliced from 3 exons. The record is from RefSeq and is a predicted model, not a curated record.
AUAUUGCAGUCUUUAUGUAUGUCAGACCCUGUUUAUUAAGGUAUAUUCUAUUUUUUUGAGUAAACCUAUAUUCUAUUUUUGAGUGAGCUUAUAUUACUUUAAAUUGUUGAACCCCUAUUUAAAGUGUACCUUUAAACUAUGUUUCUAUUAAGAUCACCUCUCUGGUAUAUGCUACUGGUGAAACAAAGAGAUGGGAACAAAAAGACCCCUAUUCUAUAGGCCUUGUUUAUGUCUUAAACCCAGACCACUUCCUUUAUUCGUAGAGUACAUAAAUCAUGAAUGACCAGUGGAUACACUUACUGGUACCCCUUUGUCUUGGGGAUAGGGAAUAGUGGGGUUGUUUGCCUGAUUUGGAAGAAAGAUUGGCUUUCUCGUUGAGAGCAAGUUUAGACUUCAAGGCAGAUAGACGUGUGAUGUAACUUCCCCCAGAAGUUACUAUGUCGCAGCUUUUUAAGACCUGCCUUGAUUUUGUUUCUUAACAGAGUUCCACCAUGGUUCCACCAUGGUUCCACUUCCAUUUCCCUCGGGACAAGAGUUGGGACUGCUGUCGUUGUUCAGGCAACGCUCUCCGCCUGAUCGAUGUAUUUAGUGCUUAUUGACGAACGACUUGUGUUUUAUCAUUUGUACUUCAUAUGAACAUCUAUUCUUUUCUUCUAUUCCCUAAUAUGUUUCUACUGUACAGUGUAGUUUACUUUGCUCUUUUGCUAUCAUUCUUGUAAUAAACAUUGUAAAGCUUUGCAUGUAGCUGUUUUUGUAAUAUUGUUGUUUGAAAUCGGAAAUGCCAGUUGUCACACUGGGAAUUUAUUAUCGGUGUACCUUUGACACUGAAUAUUAAUAAAUACCUCUUUGGAAUUAUCAUUGGCACAAAAUAUAUGUUUCAGACUUAUGUAUUUUAAUGGAUCUCCGUGUUUACUAAUCUUAAUUAAUUGAACCGGCGCAGGCAUAGGAAGUCUGUGUAACAAAUGGAGGCACUGCCCGGAUCAUUUUGUUAACCCUGUUUUUGGAUAGUUUAGCUUUAUAAUCUUUUUAAAAAUGUCUGACUCUGACUCUAAGUUUAAGGCAGAGCUAGUGAAGUUUCUGGCCGAACAGGUGGCCAAAGAUAAACCUAAGAAGUGUCCCAUAAGGCGAUCUGCAAUUAUGAGUUUGCAGAUGAAUUAGCCAUCUCAUCGGGCCACAUCUGAUAAACCUCCAGCCGCACUAGUAGUGGGUACCCAAUUCACUGUCUGGGCUGAGGUUGACGGAGUGUGUGCCCUGUGAGUGCCUUAUGGGCACUGGGUCGAUCCCAAGUGAUAUGCAUAUCUGCUUAUUGUUAUCACAAAAAGUUAGCGCACCGUCACUUGGAAUCCAUGACGACCUGUUCGUGUUUGGUGCAGGUGAAAUCAGAAGUUCCAUACAUUGGGUACAUCGAGGCCCAUCUGCAUUUUCACACUGACAAUUAGGUUGCGUUCAGUCAGAGACGACAACGCUGGCACUGGUUAUUUUUAUUUUACAAGUUUUAUUGGACAAGUUAGCACCAAACCAAUGAAAUCCUUAAUUGCCACCACCCUUCCCGGGUGAAGCUCAUUCUACCCAAGAAUGAAGCAUAGUGGCAGGAGGAAUCAUUCGGCAGUUCUCUGGAAAGGGAGUGUCGUCUGAUAGUUGGAUGCGGUGUUUGACUGAAGAGGUGCACCCAAUGUUGAGGUCAUCUACAGAGAAUUACAUCUUGCCAUCUAGGUAGGAAAGUAUGAGAUUGGUUAAUCUCUCUCUGUCCUCUGAAGUCUGCGGAAAUGUAUUAUUGUAUUGACUUGUAAUUAAAUAUGUCGGGACGCCAUGAUUCUAGGAGGGGAGAGUGUCAGACCCUGUUUAUUAAGGUAUAUUCUAUUUUUUUUGAGUAAACCUAUUUUCUAUUUUUGAGUAAGCUUAUAUUACUUUAAAUUGUUGAACCCCUGUUUAAAGUGUACCUUUAAACUAUGUUUCUAUUAAGAUCACCUCUCUGGUAUAUGCUACUGGUGAAACAAAGAGAUGGGAACAAAAAGACCCCUAUUCUAUAGGCCUUGUUUAUGUCUUAAACCCAGACCACUUCCUUUAUUCGUAGAGUACAUAAAUCAUGAAUGACCAGUGGAUACACUUACUGGUACCCCUUUGUCUUGGGGAUAGGGAAUAGUGGGGUUGUUUGCCUGUUUUGGAAGAAAGAUUGGCUUUCUCGUUGAGAGCAAGUUUAGACUUCAAGGCAGAUAGACGUGUGAUGUAACUUCCCCCAGAAGUUACUAUGUCGCAGCUUUUUAAGACCUGCCUUGAUUUUGUUUCUUAACAGAGUUCCACCAUGGUUCCACCAUGGUUCCACUUCCAUUUCCCUCGGGACAAGAGUUGGGACUGCUGUCGUUGUUCAGGCAACGCUCCCCGCCUGAUCGAUGUAUUUAGUGCUUAUUGACGAACGACUUGUGUUUUAUCAUUGGUGCUUUAUAUGAACAUCUAUUCUUUUCUUCUAUCCUUGAUAUUUUCUAAUGUAUACUGUAGUUUACUUUGCUCCUUUUUUUAUCAUGUAUUGUAUACCUGUACAACAUAUUGUAAAGCUUUGCAUGUAGCUGUAUUUGUAGAAUCCCGAUUGUUGUUGAAAUCGAAGAUGCCAGUUGUCACACUUGGAAUUUAUUAUCGGUGUACCUGUGACACUGAAUAUUAAUAAAUACCUCUUUGGAAUUAUCAUUGGCACAAAAUAUAUGUUUCAGACUUAUGUAUUUUAAUGGAUCUCCGUGUUUACUAAUC